GCCCCCGUAGCUCAAUGGAUCAGAGCGGCGCUCUCACGAAGUUGCAGGUUCGAGUCCUGCCGGGGGCA
RNAcentral lists this transfer RNA (68 nucleotides) under Caldilineaceae bacterium. RNAcentral's name for it is "tRNA-OTHER". It matches the Rfam family "tRNA". Rfam says of the family: Transfer RNA (tRNA) molecules are approximately 80 nucleotides in length. Their secondary structure includes four short double-helical elements and three loops (D, anti-codon, and T loops). Lineage: Bacteria; Bacillati; Chloroflexota; Caldilineae; Caldilineales; Caldilineaceae. The record is from RNAcentral.